CGGAGGGUGCAAGCGUUAUCCGGAUUCACUGGGUUUAAAGGGUGCGUAGGCGGAUAGGUAAGUCCGUGGUGAAAUCCUGCAGCUUAACUGCAGAACUGCCAUGGAUACUAUUUAUCUUGAAUAUCGUGGAGGUUAGCGGAAUAUGUCAUGUAGCGGUGAAAUGCUUAGAUAUGACAUAGAACACCCAUUGCGAAGGCAGCUAACUACGCGAUCAUUGACGCUGAUGCACGAAAGCGUGGGGAUCAAACAGGAUUAGAUACCCUGGUAGUCCACGCCCUAAACGAUGAUUACUCGACAUUGGUGAUACACAGUCAGUGUCUGAGCGAAAGCAUUAAGUAAUCCACCUGGGAAGUACGAUCGCAAGAUUG
RNAcentral lists this ribosomal RNA (368 nucleotides) under uncultured organism. Its description in RNAcentral is "bacterial SSU rRNA". It matches the Rfam family "Bacterial small subunit ribosomal RNA", at positions 526 to 896 of the family's 1533-position model. The record is from RNAcentral.